Molecule: transfer RNA, 25 nt
Filed under: Agave attenuata
Lineage: Eukaryota; Viridiplantae; Streptophyta; Magnoliopsida; Asparagales; Asparagaceae
Also listed under: 3 other names
Description: partial tRNA-Leu
Source: RNAcentral
CCCGCUAUGGUGAAAUCGGUAGACA